RNAcentral lists this ribosomal RNA (254 nucleotides) under uncultured bacterium. RNAcentral's name for it is "partial 16S ribosomal RNA". It matches the Rfam family "Bacterial small subunit ribosomal RNA", at positions 524 to 776 of the family's 1533-position model. The record is from RNAcentral.
UACGUAGGUGGCAAGCGUUGUCCGGAUUUACUGGGCGUAAAGAGCGCGCAGGCGGUCGUGCAAGUCGCGUGUGAAAGCCCCCGGCUCAACUGGGGAGGGUCACGCGAUACUGAUCGACUCGAAGGCAGGAGAGGGUAGUGGAAUUCCCGGUGUAGUGGUGAAAUGCGUAGAUAUCGGGAGGAACACCAGUGGCGAAGGCGACUACCUGGCCUGUUUCUUGACGCUGAGGCGCGAAAGCUAGGGGAGCAAACGGG